This 250-nucleotide ribosomal RNA is filed under the name uncultured prokaryote. Its description in RNAcentral is "partial 16S ribosomal RNA". It matches the Rfam family "Bacterial small subunit ribosomal RNA", at positions 524 to 773 of the family's 1533-position model. The record is from RNAcentral.
UACGGAAGGUCCGGGCGUCAUCCGGAUUUAUUGGGUUUAAAGGGAGCGCAGGCUGGUUAUUAAGCGUGACGUGAAAUGUAGCCGCUCAACGGCUGAGUUGCGUCGCGAACUGGUAGUCUUGAGUGAGUGCGACGUCAGCGGAAUUCGUGGUGUAGCGGUGAAAUGCUUAGAUAUCACGAAGAACCCCGAUUGCGAAGGCAGCUGACGAGCCCUUUACUGACGCUAAAGCUCGAAGGUGCGGGUAUCGAAC